UACGGAGGGUGCAAGCGUUAUCCGGAUUUACUGGGUUUAAAGGGUGCGUAGGCGGACUUUUAAGUCAGUGGUGAAAUCCCCGAGCUUAACUCGGAAACUGCCAUUGAUACUAUUAGUCUUGAAUUCGGUCGAGGUUGGCGGAAUGUGUCGUGUAGCGGUGAAAUGCUAGAUAUGACACAGAACACCGAUUGCGAAGGCAGCUAGCUAGACCGACAUUGACGCUAAGGCACGAAAGCGUGGGGAUCAAACAGG
RNAcentral lists this ribosomal RNA (252 nucleotides) under uncultured prokaryote. Its description in RNAcentral is "partial 16S ribosomal RNA". It matches the Rfam family "Bacterial small subunit ribosomal RNA", at positions 524 to 776 of the family's 1533-position model. The record is from RNAcentral.